ACGCUGGCGGCAUGCCUAACACAUGCAAGUCGAACGAGACCUUCGGGUCUAGUGGCGCACGGGUGCGUAACGCGUGGGAACCUGCCUUUAGGUCGGAAUAACUCAGAGAAAUUUGAGCUAAUACCGGAUGAUGUCUUCGGACCAAAGAUUUAUCGCCUAAGGAUGAGCCCGCGUUGGAUUAGCUAGUUGGUGGGGUAAAGGCCUACCAAGGCGACGAUCCAUAGCUGGUCUGAGAGGAUGAUCAGCCACACUGGGACUGAGACACGGCCCAGACUCCUACGGGAGGCAGCAGUGGGGAAUAUUGGACAAUGGGCGAAAGCCUGAUCCAGCAAUGCCGCGUGAGUGAAGAAGGCCUUCGGGUUGUAAAGCUCUUUUACCCGGGAUGAUAAUGACAGUACCGGGAGAAUAAGCUCCGGCUAACUCCGUG
RNAcentral lists this ribosomal RNA (427 nucleotides) under uncultured bacterium. RNAcentral describes it as "bacterial SSU rRNA". It matches the Rfam family "Bacterial small subunit ribosomal RNA", at positions 33 to 507 of the family's 1533-position model. The record is from RNAcentral.